UACGUAGGCAGCAAGCGUUGUUCGGAGUUACUGGGCGUAAAGAGUGUGUAGGCGGUUCUCUAAGUUUGGUGUGAAAUCUCCCGGCUUAACUGGGAGGGUGCGCCGAAAACUGGAGGGCUCGAGUAUGGGAGAGGAAAGCGGAAUUCCUGGUGUAGCGGUGAAAUGCGUAGAUAUCAGGAGGAACACCUGUGGUGUAGACGGCUUUCUGGACCAUCACUGACGCUGAGACACGAAAGCGUGGGGAGCAAACAGG
This 253-nucleotide ribosomal RNA is filed under the name uncultured bacterium. RNAcentral describes it as "partial 16S ribosomal RNA". It matches the Rfam family "Bacterial small subunit ribosomal RNA", at positions 524 to 776 of the family's 1533-position model. The record is from RNAcentral.